CAGCAGCCGCGGGAAUACGUAGGUGGCAAGCGUUGUCCGGAAUUAUUGGGCGUAAAGGGCUCGCAGGCGGUUUCUUAAGUCUGAUGUGAAAGCCCCCGGCUCAACCGGGGGGGGUCAUUGGAAACUGGGAAACUUGAGUGCAGAAGAGGAGAGUGGAAUUCCACGUGUAGCGGUGAAAUGCGUAGAGAUGUGGAGGAACACCAGUGGCGAAGGCGACUCUCUGGUCUGUAACUGACGCUGAGGAGCGAAAGCGUGGGGAGCGAACAGGAUUAGAUACCCGCGUAGUCCCUGUCUCUUAUAC
RNAcentral lists this ribosomal RNA (301 nucleotides) under uncultured bacterium. RNAcentral describes it as "partial 16S ribosomal RNA". It matches the Rfam family "Bacterial small subunit ribosomal RNA", at positions 509 to 807 of the family's 1533-position model. The record is from RNAcentral.